CAGCUGGCAGAGAUGACAGGACUGACCUACAAACAGGUAAAAACUUGGUUUCAAAACAGACGGAGUAAGUUUAGGAGGAGUUCACAUCCUCAGCAUGUGAAUCAGGGCGUCCCACUUCAUUUUCAGGGAGAGGGACAGCCCCCACUCAGGGAGUCGUACACUCAGCACCUAGAGAUGAAGUCAAUCGCAAAUGGUGCAAAUUAUCAGGCCCCCUAUCAUCAUGCUGUGGGCAAUUUUGCGGCUGGACCUCAAUGGACCUUCCCCACCUCGCCCCACAUGUUUGACUGGUCAAUGCCACCAGGCAACGGCAAUAAAGGAGGCUUGAAGUAUGAGACAGAUAAUCUAAAGAAUCUGGAGCUUUCAAAUGGAUCUCAAAGAUUUUCCCAGGAAUACCUCAAAUAACAUCCCUAGCUCAAAGCCCUAGCUUUGAAUACUUCAUCUUAAGAAACCUGAGAUGAUACGUUGAAAAGUUUCUGCC
Long non-coding RNA from Oreochromis aureus, 478 nucleotides. Lineage: Eukaryota; Metazoa; Chordata; Actinopteri; Cichliformes; Cichlidae. The record is from Ensembl.